Molecule: ribosomal RNA, 468 nt
Filed under: uncultured bacterium
Lineage: Bacteria
Description: partial 16S ribosomal RNA
Rfam family: Bacterial small subunit ribosomal RNA
Source: RNAcentral
GACGAACGCUGGCGGCGUGCUUAACACAUGCAAGUCGAACGGAAAGGCCCUGCUUUUGUGGGGUGCUCGAGUGGCGAACGGGUGAGUAACACGUGAGUAACCUGCCCUUGACUUUGGGAUAACUUCAGGAAACUGGGGCUAAUACCGGAUAGGAGCUCCUGCUGCAUGGUGGGGGUUGGAAAGUUUCGGCGGUUGGGGAUGGACUCGCGGCUUAUCAGCUUGUUGGUGGGGUAGUGGCUUACCAAGGAUUUGACGGGUAGCCGGCCUGAGAGGGUGACCGGCCACAUUGGGACUGAGAUACGGCCCAGACUCCUACGGGAGGCAGCAGUGGGGAAUAUUGCACAAUGGGCGGAAGCCUGAUGCAGCAACGCCGCGUGCGGGAUGACGUCCUUCGGGUUGUAAACCGCUUUCGCCUGUGACGAAGCGUGAGUGACGGUAAUGGGUAAAGAAGCACCGGCUAACUACGUG